GUGCCAGCAGCCGCGGUAAGACGGAGGGUGCUAGCGUUGUUCGGAAUCACUGGGCGUAAAGGGCGCGUAGGCGGCCCUGGCAGUCGGCUUGUGAAAGCCCGGGGCUCAACCCCGGAGGUGCGGCCGAAACACCAGGGCUGGAGGCCGGAAGAGGAGGGUGGAAUACCCAGUGUAGAGGUGAAAUUCGUAGAUAUUGGGUGGAACACCGGUGGCGAAAGCGGCUCUCUGGUCCGGACCUGACGCUGAGGCGCGAAAGCGUGGGGAGCAAACAGGAUUAGAUACCCUUGUAGUCC
RNAcentral lists this ribosomal RNA (293 nucleotides) under uncultured bacterium. RNAcentral describes it as "partial 16S ribosomal RNA". It matches the Rfam family "Bacterial small subunit ribosomal RNA", at positions 505 to 796 of the family's 1533-position model. The record is from RNAcentral.